GAUGAAUGCUGGCGGCGUGCCUAACACAUGCAAGUCGAGCGGCAGCGCGGGGUGCUUGCACCCUGUCGGCGAGCGGCGAACGGCUGAGUAACGCGUAGGAAUUUGCCCCAAAGUGAGGAAUAACUGCCCGAAAGGGUAGCUAAUGCCGCAUAUGGUCUUCGGAUUAAAGGAUUUAUCCGCUUUGGGAGAAGCCUGCGUUGGAUUAGGUUGUUGGUAGGGUAAUGGCCUACCAAGCCGACGAUCCAUAGCUGGUCUGAGAGGAUGAUCAGCCAGACUGGAACUGAGACACGGUCCAGACUCCUACGGGAGGCAGCAGUGAGGAAUCUUCCACAAUGGGCGAAAGCCUGAUGGAGCAACGCCGCGUGAAGGAUGAAGGCCUUCGGGUUGUAAACUUCUUUUAUGAGUGAAGAAUAUGACGGUAACUCAUGAAUAAGCACCGGCUAACUACGUG
This 451-nucleotide ribosomal RNA is filed under the name uncultured bacterium. Its description in RNAcentral is "partial 16S ribosomal RNA". It matches the Rfam family "Bacterial small subunit ribosomal RNA", at positions 28 to 507 of the family's 1533-position model. The record is from RNAcentral.